This is a non-coding RNA of Tinamus guttatus (white-throated tinamou), 169 nucleotides long. The record is from RefSeq and is a predicted model, not a curated record. Lineage: Eukaryota; Metazoa; Chordata; Aves; Tinamiformes; Tinamidae.
CGGCACCGCGCGCCUGGAGCUGAACGGCAACAACAUCACGCGCAUCAACAAGAACGACUUCUCCGGGCUGAAGCAGCUGCGCGUCCUGCAGCUCAUGGAGAACCAGAUCAGCACGGUGGAGCGCGGUGCCUUCGAUGACAUGAAGGAGCUGGAGCGGCUGUGAGUGCUG